RNAcentral lists this long non-coding RNA (285 nucleotides) under Phoenix dactylifera (date palm). RNAcentral describes it as "long non-coding RNA (PDAC_LNC008846)". Lineage: Eukaryota; Viridiplantae; Streptophyta; Magnoliopsida; Arecales; Arecaceae. The record is from RNAcentral.
AUAUCAUCAGAGAAUCCCCACGAACUGUGAAGCCAUCUAUUAGCAGGAGCUGGAAUCACACCCCGUGUGAGAUUAAUCCGAGUCAUAAUACAAAAAGUAAUCUCUCUUAGAAGAACACACUCAUGUGUAGGCCUUAUGGCCAUGAACAAUUAUGAAAUUUCAAUAAAGAAAUGUUCUUAUGAUAUCGUUAUGAAUGGUGUUACUGUGAUGAAUGGACUAUUGAGCAAUGACAUCUACUUGUUAUCACAACCUGUUAAUGUAAUGUACACGUCAAGUAAGCGUCCU